AACGAACGCUGGCGGCAUGCCUAACACAUGCAAGUCGAACGAGACCUUCGGGUCUAGUGGCGCACGGGUGCGUAACGCGUGGGAACCUGCCCUUAGGUUCGGAAUAACUCCCCGAAAGGGGUGCUAAUACCGGAUAAUGUCUUCGGACCAAAGAUUUAUCGCCUUUGGAUGGGCCCGCGUUGGAUUAGCUAGUUGGUAGGGUAAAAGCCUACCAAGGCGACGUUCCAUAGCUGGUCUGAUAGGAUGCUCAGCCACACUGGGACUGAGACACGGCCCAGACUCCGACGGGAGGCAGCAGUGGGGAAUAUUGGACGAUGGGGGAAAGCCUGAUCCAGCAGUGCCGCGUGAGUGAGGAAGGCCGUAGGGUUGUAAAGCUCUUUUACCCGGGAUGAUAAUGACAGUACCGGGAGAAUAAGCUCCGGCUAACUCCGUG
This 433-nucleotide ribosomal RNA is filed under the name uncultured bacterium. RNAcentral's name for it is "partial 16S ribosomal RNA". It matches the Rfam family "Bacterial small subunit ribosomal RNA", at positions 29 to 507 of the family's 1533-position model. The record is from RNAcentral.